RNAcentral lists this microRNA precursor (63 nucleotides) under Microcaecilia unicolor. RNAcentral describes it as "Mun-Mir-221-P1a_pre stem-loop". It matches the Rfam family "mir-221 microRNA precursor family", at positions 11 to 73 of the family's 84-position model. The record is from RNAcentral. Lineage: Eukaryota; Metazoa; Chordata; Amphibia; Gymnophiona; Siphonopidae.
CGCUCAGUAGUUGGUGUAGAUCCUGUGAUUUUAGUCAGCAGCUACAUCUGGCUACUGGGUCUC